Molecule: long non-coding RNA, 219 nt
Filed under: Elaeis guineensis (African oil palm)
Lineage: Eukaryota; Viridiplantae; Streptophyta; Magnoliopsida; Arecales; Arecaceae
Description: long non-coding RNA (EGUI_LNC027798)
Source: RNAcentral
ACCCAGAUUCACUAUCUACAGAUUCUGCAUAUAUAAAUACAAGGCAAUUGCUAUCUAAUUAUUUUAUUAUUUUAAAUAAUUUACAUAAUAAAUGAAUCUGAGCACCAACUAAUAGGUAAAGAUAGGUCCUAUCCCUUUCAAAAAUGCAUCACUUUUUUUUGUUACCAUAGCUUUGUUCUUUGUUCCAUAUCCAGAGAAAAUCCGAUAGCAUCUCCCUAC